RNAcentral lists this unclassified non-coding RNA (384 nucleotides) under uncultured bacterium. RNAcentral's name for it is "contains 16S-23S intergenic spacer region". The record is from RNAcentral.
UCCGGUUUGACACCGGCAGUCCCGCUAGAGUGCCCGGCAUGACCCGAUGGCAACUAACGGCAGGGGUUUCGCUCGUUAGGGGACUUAACCCAACACCUCAAGGCACGAGCUGACGACAGCCAUGCAACACCUGUGCUGGUUACACCCGAAGGCAAUCCCUCCGCUUUCACGGAGUUAAUCCCAGCAUGUCAAACCCAGGUAAGGUUCUUCGCGUUGCUUCGAAUUGAGCAACAUCCUCCACCGCUUGUGUGAGCCCCCGUCAAUUCCUUUGAGUUUUAGCCUUGCGGCCGUACUCCCCAGGCGGGGCACUUAAUGCGUUAGCUCCGGCACGGGAGGAGUCGACACCUCCCACACCUAGUGCCCAUCGUUUACGGCGUGGACUAC